UGGUUUUGGAGGAAAUCGCCUCAAAUUCCUUGCAAUGGGUCAAGGUCAAGAAAAGGUGGCCCUGCAGCUGCUGGAGACGGCAGUGGCUCGGGGGCAGUGGCUGAUGCUGCAGAACUGCCACCUCCUGGUCAAGUGGCUGAAAGAUCUGGAGAAGUCCCUAGAGAGGAUCACCAAGCCCCACCCAGACUUCCGCCUGUGGCUCACCACGGACCCCACCAAGGGGUUCCCCAUUGGGAUUCUGCAGAAGUCCCUAAAGGUUGUCACCGAGCCACCCAAUGGGCUGAAACUCAACAUGAGGGCAACUUACUUCAAGAUCUCUCACGAAAUGCUGGACCAGUGCCCGCACCCUGCCUUCAAGCCUCUGGUCUACGUGCUGGCGUUCUUCCAUGCUGUGGUGCAGGAAAGAAGAAAGUUUGGGAAGAUUGGCUGGAACGUGUACUAUGACUUCAAUGAGUCUGACUUCCAGGUGACAGCGGCUGCUUCUCCUUGGAAAUGGCUUCCUUAGGCGGCCCACUUCCUCCUGACUUUCCUCCAGGUUCAACCACAGCAGGAUUGCACCGUUCCCAACAGCCUUUUCAGAAAAGUAUCAGAAUGUGAACAGCUUGGUGGGUUUCAGCAUAACUGAGCGUGUUCUCUUCUUUCAAGGUCUGCAUGGAAAUUCUGAACACGUACUUAACGAAAGCCUUCCAGCAACGGGACCCGAGGAUCCCGUGGGGCAGCC
Molecule: small RNA, 721 nt
Filed under: Pongo abelii (Sumatran orangutan)
Lineage: Eukaryota; Metazoa; Chordata; Mammalia; Primates; Hominidae
Description: retained intron
Source: RNAcentral